GAAAAAUGAUGAUAUUCCCUCAAUCUUCUGCACUUACAGUGAAGACCUCAGAUCCAACUCUGAUUUCACUCUAGUU
Small nucleolar RNA from Malurus cyaneus samueli, 76 nucleotides. The record is from Ensembl. NCBI's taxonomy places the organism in Eukaryota, Metazoa, Chordata, Aves, Passeriformes, Maluridae.